Molecule: unclassified non-coding RNA, 288 nt
Filed under: Hevea brasiliensis (rubber tree)
Lineage: Eukaryota; Viridiplantae; Streptophyta; Magnoliopsida; Malpighiales; Euphorbiaceae
Source: RNAcentral
UGCUGGGGCGGCUCAUAUAUAAAAUUCACUUCCACUUUCCCUUCCUCAGACACCGUUCCAUACAUAAACCCGCCCCUUUUCACAGCAAAUGCAAGCGUCUCGUUAACAUACUGCUGGAAUGCAUUGGCACAUUCCCGAUCGAAAGACACCGAAUCACAAUGAGGAUUUUCUUGUCUGGUAACUCGCAUUUGUUUGGCAAUUAGGUCAUCCAUAGUCAUCUUGCGGCCGAAGGAUCCAGCGGGAUGAAUAGCGGGUCCAGCUAUGGUCCUCUCGCCCUCAUAGGCCAAG